CCCUUAGAUGUUCUGGGCUGCACGCGCGCUACACUGAAGCGUUCAACGAGUAUUCACCUUGCCCGGGAGGGUUGGGUAAUCUUUUGAAAACGCUUCGUGAUGGGGAUAGAUUAUUGCAAUUAUUAAUCUUCAACGAGGAAUUCCUAGUAAGCGCGAGUCAUCAGCUCGUGCUGAUUACGUCCCUGCCCUUUGUACACACCGCCCGUCGCUCUUACCGAUUGAGUGAUCCGGUGAAUAAUUCGGACUGCAGCACUGCUUGGUCUCCAGGCUUUGCAGCGGAAAGUUUAGUGAACCUUAUCACUUAGAGGAAGGAGAANUCGUANCA
RNAcentral lists this ribosomal RNA (325 nucleotides) under uncultured eukaryote. RNAcentral describes it as "partial 18S ribosomal RNA". It matches the Rfam family "Eukaryotic small subunit ribosomal RNA", at positions 1470 to 1796 of the family's 1831-position model. The record is from RNAcentral.